Non-coding RNA from Myodes glareolus (Bank vole), 956 nucleotides. NCBI's taxonomy places the organism in Eukaryota, Metazoa, Chordata, Mammalia, Rodentia, Cricetidae. The record is from RefSeq and is a predicted model, not a curated record.
GCCUGCUGAGUGCAGGACUCAGGUCUGAGCCUCACUUCUUUCGGCCAGUAAAGCAGUGUUGUAUCCCAGGUUUGCCAACAGGUUCCAGUUCAGCAGCAUCUCCUGGAUCUCCCAGUCAUGAAUGCUGGGAGCCUCAGUCAGUCUUGCUGCAAGAUGGAGGUGAUGAGGAUUCAGAGAUCUAUGUCAUUCACCAGCUGUAUGCAGGCCAAGCGUGGAUGCCAUAACUGGAAGGAACCACUGCACACACUCGACAGAUUCACCCGCCAAGGGCUGGUCCCGGCUUCACAUAUCAUCCGGGACUCUGAACUCCAAUUUCCGGGAUUGAAUCGGACCGAGGGCCUUCCUCAACCCUGCCAACUGCCUGGACUCCUUCGUACAAACAACACCGGCUUCUAAUUGUAAGUUUCCUCACUCCAGCCAGCUUAUCUGAGCCUUUUUAACCCGGGAUUGACCGGUCCUCCCGGUGUUUCUGGGCUCAGGGAGGGGUACUUCUCCACCCCGUCGCUGGCAUCCAUUAUGGCUUGCAUCCUCUGUUAAGCCCGUGACUGGGACAGUUGGCCUGGCCAGCUCCCACCAUUCCCGCAACUGGGAACCCGGGGUUCCCAGGCUUCUUCCUCUUUCUUUCCGUCUUUUCUUCCUUCCAACCUUUCUUGCAGAUGUAAUUGGCUGAUCCGGUUAGGCCAUUAGCAUCCCACAUGGGUACUCGGACGCCUGGGCACAUGGUUUUGGAUGUUCGAUUUGCAUCUCAUCUAAACGGGGAGCUGUUCCCCAUAGGUUCGAGAUGCCACGAUUUUUUGCUGGUUUUUCACAGGUCUUAACCUGGAAAAGCCAGUCGUACCAGCCUAUGUGGGUUUUUCACAAUUCAACAACCAGGCGGCCCCCGGUUUUAAAAUUCCCGCGGCUUUCCAUUCAAGCCACAACAUGUGGCCACUGCCAUGUUCAUUGGGGUCAGGUGA